GACGAACGCUGGCGGCGUGCUUAACACAUGCAAGUCUUACGAGAAAAGGGUAGCAAUAUCCUGAGUAAAGUGGCGCACGGGUGAGUAACACGUAGGCAAUUUGCCUUUAGGACGGGAACAACCCCGGGAAACCGGGGCUAAUACCCGAUGAUGCAGCGGCUCCGCAUGGAGACAGUUGUUAAACCCCGCAAGGGGCCUAUUGAUGAGCCUGCGUCUGAUUAGCUAGUUGGNGAGGUAACGGCCCACCAAGGCAACGAUCAGUAGCUGGUCUGAGAGGAUGAUCAGCCACACUGGAACUGAGACACGGUCCAGACUCCUACGGGAGGCAGCAGUGAGGAAUAUUGCGCAAUGGCCGAAAGGCUGACGCAGCGACGCCGCGUGAAGGAUGAAGUUCGUUAG
RNAcentral lists this ribosomal RNA (399 nucleotides) under uncultured bacterium. RNAcentral's name for it is "bacterial SSU rRNA". It matches the Rfam family "Bacterial small subunit ribosomal RNA", at positions 28 to 421 of the family's 1533-position model. The record is from RNAcentral.